This 516-nucleotide long non-coding RNA is filed under the name Hordeum vulgare. Its description in RNAcentral is "long non-coding RNA (HVUL_LNC021430)". Lineage: Eukaryota; Viridiplantae; Streptophyta; Magnoliopsida; Poales; Poaceae. The record is from RNAcentral.
ACGACCGGUUUGCCGCACAGGUGUAUGUAAGCAUUGUAGAUUACGUGCUAUAGAAACCCAAACUGAUAAUUAUUUUAUUUCUUUUUGCCAAGGCAGUUUACAUUACAAGCGGCUCGAUAGGGAGGCCUGUUUAAACUUUAUAUUUCAAUCAGUAGAUGAUAUGGACAUAUGAUACAGACGACAGCUGUCUAAACCAAUGCACAUGCCCUAAGCACAUAGGAGUAUUUAUCUAUUUGUAUCCAGUGUCACUUUUGCUCAGGUUAAUUAAUUUGAUUAAGAAGCAUCAUCUAAACAUCAGAUUUACAUUUUACCAUCACCGAUAUAGUACAAAAAAGCAACGUGGCUGCACCGUUCUUUUUUGGAGAUAAUGCAACAGUUUUUGUUCUUUGACAUAAACGUGGUUACAACAGUUAGUACUACUGGCAUUAAGAUUUGUUAGCUUAAAAUUCACAGCGCUACAGUCUCUUAGAUGUUGACGAAGGGCGUGCCGGUGAUGAACUCGGUGGUGGCGNNNNN